GUUAUUUUGGCAGAUUAGUGCAAUAGAUUUAGGAUCUUUUUAUGUAAAUUUUACAAAUAAUA
RNAcentral lists this transfer RNA (62 nucleotides) under Pityophthorus pubescens. Its description in RNAcentral is "tRNA-Leu". Lineage: Eukaryota; Metazoa; Arthropoda; Insecta; Coleoptera; Curculionidae. The record is from RNAcentral.